RNAcentral lists this ribosomal RNA (508 nucleotides) under uncultured bacterium. RNAcentral's name for it is "partial 16S ribosomal RNA". It matches the Rfam family "Bacterial small subunit ribosomal RNA", at positions 30 to 523 of the family's 1533-position model. The record is from RNAcentral.
AUUGAACGCUGGCGGCAUGCCUUACACAUGCAAGUCGAACGGCAGCGGGGGAGAAGCUUGCUUUUCCUGCCGGCGAGUGACGAACGGGUGAGUAAUACAUCGGAACGUGCCCUGUAGUGGGGGAUAACUAGUCGAAAGAUUAGCUAAUACCGCAUACGACCUGAGGGUGAAAGUGGGGGACCGCAAGGCCUCAUGCUAUAGGAGCGGCCGAUGUCUGAUUAGCUAGUUGGUGGGGUAAAGGCCUACCAAGGCGACGAUCAGUAGCAGAUCUGAGAGGACGAACAGCCACACUGGGACUGAGACACGGCCCAGAAUCCUACGGGAGGCAGCAGUGGGGAAUUUUGGACAAUGGGCGAAAGCCUGAUCCAGCAAUGCCGCGUGUGUGAAGAAGGCCUUCGGGUUGUAAAGCACUUUUGUCCGGAAAGAAAUGGCUCUGGUUAAUACCUGGGGUCGAUGACGGUACCGGAAGAAUAAGGACCGGCUAACUACGUGCCAGCCGCCGCCGUAA